Molecule: ribosomal RNA, 479 nt
Filed under: Heterorhabditis zealandica
Lineage: Eukaryota; Metazoa; Nematoda; Chromadorea; Rhabditida; Heterorhabditidae
Description: eukaryotic LSU rRNA
Rfam family: Eukaryotic large subunit ribosomal RNA
Source: RNAcentral
GGAAAGUUGCAAAGAACUUUGAAGAGAGAGUUCAAGAGAACGUGAAAUCGCUGAAGUGGAACCGGAGAGAGUUAACUUAACUUGGUAGCUAUAUUCUCUAGGGUCGCUUAACUGUGGCUCUGGGGGGUGGACGCUACCUGUUGUUGCACUGACUGCGUUGAUCGUGCUUUCCGAACAGUGUAGUGUUGCCCACUUUGUGGUGUCUUGCUCGCUGGGAGGUUUGUCAUGGUUAACGUAUAGCCUUAGUCCCGAGGGAGUCAGUGUGAAAGUUAACCACCUUUCCGACCCGUCUUGAAACACGGACCGAGGAGUGUUGGUUAUACGCGAGUCAAGGAGUGGUGAAAACUCUAGGGGCGGAAUGAAAGUAAAGACUAGUUAACUAGUUGACAUGGGAUCCGCUCUUCGGAGCGGCGCACCAUGGCCCUGUCUUGUCUGCUUGCAGAUGGGCAGCGGUAGAGCGUAUAGCUUGCGACCCGAAA